AAGACUAUACUUUCAGGAAUCAUUUCUAUAGUUUGUGACUAGAGAAGUUUCUCUGAUCACGUAGAGCACCUGAAGCCACAAGGAGGAGCCAGAUGAGCAUCCUCUCCUGAACAUGAAGCCGGCUCUAGGUGAUGCUUCUGCGGCUGAAUUGGCCAUUGAUGAUCGUUAUUCUCUUCCUUUGGAAGGGAUAGAGGUAGAGGAUGCAGUCUGAGUGGU
Suncus etruscus (white-toothed pygmy shrew) is the source of this 216-nucleotide small nucleolar RNA. RefSeq annotates it as small nucleolar RNA U3. The transcript has a single exon. Lineage: Eukaryota; Metazoa; Chordata; Mammalia; Eulipotyphla; Soricidae. The record is from RefSeq and is a predicted model, not a curated record.